RNAcentral lists this small nuclear RNA (176 nucleotides) under Anas platyrhynchos (mallard). RNAcentral's name for it is "U1 spliceosomal RNA (ENSAPLG00020001844.1)". It matches the Rfam family "U1 spliceosomal RNA". Rfam says of the family: U1 is a small nuclear RNA (snRNA) component of the spliceosome (involved in pre-mRNA splicing). The record is from RNAcentral. Lineage: Eukaryota; Metazoa; Chordata; Aves; Anseriformes; Anatidae.
AUACUUACCUGGCACAGAAACACCAUGAUCAGGCAGGUGGUUUUCCUAGGGUAAGGAUCAUCCCCUGCAUUCCGGGUGUGCUGAGCCCUGUGAUUUUCCCACAUGCAGGAAACUCCACUGCAUAAUUUGUGUUAGCGGGGGACUGCAUUAGGUUACAAAGCUGGUGAAGGGCCCGG